Acanthosepion pharaonis is the source of this 105-nucleotide non-coding RNA. The record is from the annotation of a GenBank genome assembly. Lineage: Eukaryota; Metazoa; Mollusca; Cephalopoda; Sepiida; Sepiidae.
CAUAUGCUGAAACACUGGUUCCUAGCAUGAUCACCAAAGUUAAGCAACAUUAAACCUGGUCAGUACUUAGAAGGGUGACCACUCAGGAAUACUAAGUGCUGUAAG